Molecule: long non-coding RNA, 493 nt
Organism: Cyprinus carpio (common carp)
Lineage: Eukaryota; Metazoa; Chordata; Actinopteri; Cypriniformes; Cyprinidae
Exons: 3
Source: RefSeq, a predicted model, not a curated record
CUGUCUCUUUGAAGGUGAACCAGGUCAUCUUGUUCCAUCAUCAUCACAAUUUCUGGUAGAGAGUGAUCUGUUCCUUGUUGCAGGACGAAUGAUUGGACUUUCUUUCCUACAUGGUGGACCUCGGCUGGCUGGAGUCAGCCAAGCAAUAGUCCAUGUACUACUAGAGGUUCACCUGAGACUGCUACAGUGCAGAUAGAAGACUGUCCUGACCAUGAUAUUCAUGAAACCAGAAAACUGGUCACUGGAAGGAGAUGACGGCAGGUGAAACAAAUACGUAAAGGACUCAAAGAAACCAGAGUGUGGCCGCUGCUGACUGAAAGGAAAGAUGUGGAUAUCUUUCAGAGGGAAUGUGAAAAUUCACUCACCCCUUUGAUGCUGCUUCCCUGUAUCUGCUGGCCCUCUGAUAGCAGUGUGGAUGAUGACGACGAGCACGAUUGUUCACUAGAAGAUAGAUGUCACAUCUCAGGGUAUCUGCAUCACUUCAUUGAGACAG